GCACCCUCGGUUAGCCAGGAUCACUGCGGCUGCGCUCCGUGUCUGUCACACAUGUUCCCCGAACAUAAGGAGACGGGAUAAUGAACCGCCUCCAAGCUGCUGAGCUUUAACUUGGGUAGAAAAUAGGCAAGCGUCGCGGAUGAGGAUUCAGGAAGCAGGUGGGUCUCCCCACGAUCAUUCUUCAGCCGUAGGAAAAUCGAAAAAGGUGGGAAAGUGGUGAGAAAGGUUACAGCAGCUGUAACUUUUGGUUCAGGAGACACGCCUCUGGGAGCCUUCAGACGGCUGAAACCUGAGCCAGCCGCCGCCAGUCUCUGACCCCGACCCGCCCAGCCCGUCGUCGUGGCUCAAACCAAGUGUGCCUCGUUGAUGGAUGACACCGAGGCUUUUCACCCCAUUUGCUCAACCACAAAACUGCGCUCUUAGAGCAAGAGAGAAGUCAGCAGGCACGGCAGGGACCCCGCGGGGGCGGGUAAGGGGAUCUGGUUCCGACCGCUGUGGACGACCCACCGCAGCCCUACGGAGUGAUCCGGGCGCUGCCCACCCGCGCGGGGCUCGCGUCUGAACCAGCCCCUGCGAGGUCGAGGCCCGAGGCCCACACUGACCUUGGACUGGGCGCUCGCCGGCAGGUCGAGGAUCCGAGAAGACAGGGGACCCGCGUUCUCCACUGGACCUAAACGAGUGGCUGGGUCGGGCGACCCUCAAAGCCUGAGGCUUUGAGCCGGGUUUUCCAGCCGGGGAAAGGUUGAGGGGAGAUCCGACCGCGCUGCAGCUCGUGGACACCCCCUUGGAGAGUGUGCGCGCCCUGUGAAUCUCUGCAUAGAGGGAUCCAGAAAAACGGCGGGAUGCAUCGACCUUUGCCUGUGGGGAUUUCAAGAUACGCGUCUUAUUCCCGCAUCGGUUCAUUUGUUCGUUCACUUCUUGAGCUCCCACCACGUGCUGGGAACUGUGCGGUGUGCACUCUUCACCUCGAUUUCGGCAAACACAAAUAAACAGCCCCGACUAAUCA
Molecule: long non-coding RNA, 1006 nt
Filed under: Sus scrofa (pig)
Lineage: Eukaryota; Metazoa; Chordata; Mammalia; Artiodactyla; Suidae
Description: lncRNA (ENSSSCG00065073769.1)
Source: RNAcentral